AGCUUUGCACAGUGGCAGUAUCAUAGCCAAUGAGGUUUAUCUGAGGGGCGAUUAUUGCUAAUUGAAACAUUCACCAAGUGUCUACUAUGGGUAAGUUUUGGCACUGGGGCUACUG
Small nuclear RNA from Heterocephalus glaber (naked mole-rat), 115 nucleotides. Its record names the gene U4. It matches the Rfam family "U4 spliceosomal RNA". From Rfam's summary of the family: U4 small nuclear RNA (U4 snRNA) is a component of the major U2-dependent spliceosome. The structure of U4 snRNA from yeast and human has been reported. The record is from Ensembl. NCBI's taxonomy places the organism in Eukaryota, Metazoa, Chordata, Mammalia, Rodentia, Bathyergidae.